Phrynosoma platyrhinos (Desert horned lizard) is the source of this 72-nucleotide non-coding RNA. The record is from the annotation of a GenBank genome assembly. NCBI's taxonomy places the organism in Eukaryota, Metazoa, Chordata, Lepidosauria, Squamata, Phrynosomatidae.
GCCAAUGUGGUGUAGUGGUGUGAGCACUGGACUAUGACUCUGGAGACCAGGGUUUGAAUCCCUGCUCAGGCA